AUGUUGGGGGCUAACACUGUCUCAUGUGCUGCUGAAGUUAUGAGAAGGAACAGGGACACCAGAAUCCGAGCAAGGGUGAGGGACUUUGUUGCCAACAAGACCAAUGCCUCAGAACCUGUGACUCAGUUUUGGCUGGAGGUAGGGGACCCAGGCCUGGAGGAGCCAAGCUGCAGUGAGACUUCAAGGCAGCCACACAGUCCACCGCCAGGGUUCAACUGCACCUCCUCAGCCUCAGCUGAGCACCAAGAUUCUGGGCUCCCCUUAUUGCCCUGUGAGCUGCUCCUGAGAAGUCAGAUCCGACUUGUCCUCUGUGGUCACCUUGGAGUUACACUUCCUUUCUCUCUGCCAUCUACUUUGAAGAACUCCUUUUCAGGUUGUCUUCUUCAGGAAUGA
Molecule: long non-coding RNA, 393 nt
Filed under: Canis lupus familiaris (dog)
Lineage: Eukaryota; Metazoa; Chordata; Mammalia; Carnivora; Canidae
Description: lncRNA (ENSCAFG00030026168.1, ENSCAFG00040012123.1)
Source: RNAcentral